UGGAGAGUCUCCAUCCAGCUGGAUCACUGUCACAGACAAACACACCACCACACCUCCACCUACAUCCACACCUCCACCUACAUCCUCCUCUCCUCUUGGUUCCACCUCCAUCACUCUUCCUCCAUCACUCUCGCCUCCUGUUCUCUCUGUGUUGUCAUGUGUUGGAUCAGUCUGUGUUGUGGUUCUACUGGUGUUACUGGUUCUGCUGGUGAGACAAUGUGUUCACAGGAAACCUGAAGGUGAGACUCAGAAAACUGCAUUUCAGAUGUGUGGUUAAUAUAAUCGCACCAAUUAUAUAUUUAUAUUUAUAUACACUCAUAUUUAGUUUUUAUAUAUGUUUUUUCUAAAUUUCAAUUCAUCCGUACUCAUAUUUUCACAAAUUACACA
Oreochromis aureus is the source of this 387-nucleotide long non-coding RNA. NCBI's taxonomy places the organism in Eukaryota, Metazoa, Chordata, Actinopteri, Cichliformes, Cichlidae. The record is from Ensembl.